Molecule: ribosomal RNA, 381 nt
Filed under: uncultured bacterium
Lineage: Bacteria
Description: bacterial SSU rRNA
Rfam family: Bacterial small subunit ribosomal RNA
Source: RNAcentral
AAUCAACGCUGGCGGCGUGCCUAACACAUGCAAGUCGAACGCGAAAGUCCCGCAAGGGGGCAAGUAGAGUGGCGCACGGGUGAGUAACACGUGGAUAACCUGCCUUCGAGUGAGGAAUAACCUUCCGAAAGGAGGGCUAAUACCGCAUAACACCUUGAGACAAAAGUCUCGAGGUUAAAAGGAGCAAUUCGCUUGAAGAGGGGUCCGCGCCUGAUUAGCUAGUUGGUGAGGUAACGGCUCACCAAGGCUAUGAUCAGUAGCCGUCCUGAGAGGGAGCACGGCCACACUGGAACUGAGACACGGUCCAGACUCCUACGGGAGGCAGCAGUGGGGAAUUUUGGCAAUGGGCGAAAGCCUGACCAAGCAACGCCGCGUGGGUGA